RNAcentral lists this ribosomal RNA (460 nucleotides) under uncultured bacterium. Its description in RNAcentral is "partial 16S ribosomal RNA". It matches the Rfam family "Bacterial small subunit ribosomal RNA", at positions 338 to 795 of the family's 1533-position model. The record is from RNAcentral.
CCUACGGGUGGCAGCAGUGAGGAAUAUUGGUCAAUGGGCGUAAGUCUGAACCAGCCAAGUCGCGUGAGGGAUGAAGGUUCUAUGGAUUGUAAACCUCUUUUAUAAGGGAAUAAAGUGCGGGACGUGUCCCGCUUUGUAUGUACCUUAUGAAUAAGGAUCGGCUAACUUCGUGCCAGCAGCCGCGGUAAUACGGAGGAUCCGCGCGUUAUCCGGAUUUAUUGGGUUUAAAGGGAGCGUAGGCCGGUCUUUAAGCGUGCCGUGAAAUUUUGUGGCUCAACCAUGAGAGUGCGGCGCGAACUGGAGACCUUGAGUGCGCGGAGGGCAGGCGGAAUUCGUGGUGUAGCGGUGAAAUGCUUAGAUAUCACGAAGAACCCCGAUUGCGAAGGCAGCCUGCCGCAGCGUUACUGACGCUGAAGCUCGAAAGCGCGGGUAUCGAACAGGAUUAGAUACCCGUGUAGUC